This 432-nucleotide ribosomal RNA is filed under the name uncultured bacterium. RNAcentral's name for it is "partial 16S ribosomal RNA". It matches the Rfam family "Bacterial small subunit ribosomal RNA", at positions 29 to 506 of the family's 1533-position model. The record is from RNAcentral.
AACGAACGCUGGCGGCAGGCCUAACACAUGCAAGUCGAGCGGACCUUUCGGGGUCAGCGGCGGACGGGUGAGUAACGCGUGGGAAUAUGCCCUUCUCUACGGAAUAGUCCUGGGAAACUGGGGGUAAUACCGUAUACGCCCUUUGGGGGAAAGAUUUAUCGGGGAAGGAUUAGCCCGCGUUGGAUUAGGUAGUUGGUGGGGUAAUGGCCUACCAAGCCGACGAUCCAUAGCUGGUUUGAGAGGAUGAUCAGCCACACUGGGACUGAGACACGGCCCAGACCCCUCGGGGAGGCAGCAGGGGGGAAUCUUAAACAAUGGGGGCAACCCUGACCUAGCCAGGCCGGGGAAGGGAUGAAGGCCUUAGGGUUGUAAAGCUCUUUCAGCUGGGAAGAUAAUGACGGUACCAGCAAAAGAAGCCCCGGCUAACUCCGU